RNAcentral lists this ribosomal RNA (253 nucleotides) under uncultured bacterium. Its description in RNAcentral is "partial 16S ribosomal RNA". It matches the Rfam family "Bacterial small subunit ribosomal RNA", at positions 524 to 776 of the family's 1533-position model. The record is from RNAcentral.
UACGUAGGGGGCAAGCGUUGUCCGGAUUUAUUGGGCGUAAAGAGCGUGUAGGCGGCUAUGCAGGUCCGCUGUGAAAACUCGAGGCUCAACCUCGAGACGUCGGUGGAAACCGCAUGGCUAGAGUCCUGAAGAGGAGAGUGGAAUUCCCGGUGUAGCGGUGAAAUGCGCAGAUAUCGGGAAGAACACCCGUGGCGAAGGCGGCUCUCUGGGACGGUACUGACGCUGAGACGCGAAAGCGUGGGGAGCGAACAGG